This 484-nucleotide ribosomal RNA is filed under the name uncultured bacterium. RNAcentral's name for it is "partial 16S ribosomal RNA". It matches the Rfam family "Bacterial small subunit ribosomal RNA", at positions 30 to 507 of the family's 1533-position model. The record is from RNAcentral.
AUUGAACGCUGGCGGCAGGCCUAACACAUGCAAGUCGAGCGGAUGAAGGGAGCUUGCUCCUGGAUUCAGCGGCGGACGGGUGAGUAAUGCCUAGGAAUCUGCCUGGUAGUGGGGGAUAACGUCCGGAAACGGGCGCUAAUACCGCAUACGUCCUGAGGGAGAAAGUGGGGGAUCUUCGGACCUCACGCUAUCAGAUGAGCCUAGGUCGGAUUAGCUAGUUGGUGGGGUAAAGGCCUACCAAGGCGACGAUCCGUAACUGGUCUGAGAGGAUGAUCAGUCACACUGGAACUUAGACACGGUCCAGACUCCUACGGGAGGCAGCAGUGGGGAAUAUUGGACAAUGGGCGAAAGCCUGAUCCAGCCAUGCCGCGUGUGUGAAGAAGGUCUUCGGAUUGUAAAGCACUUUAAGUUGGGAGGAAGGGCAGUAAGUUAAUACCUUGCCGUUUUGACGUUACCAACAGAAUAAGCACCGGCUAACUUCGUG